CCUCUCGCCUCCCCAUAUCGAAAACACGUGUGGAAAUAACAACAGCAUGGCAAGCCAGGGGCUCACCUACGAUGGUUGUAAUUUUUUCAGACAACGACUAGUGUUAUCAACUCUAAGUGGCAAAAGAGUCAAAAUCCGAAACAUACGAUCUAAAGAUGAUAACCCAGGACUUAGAGAUUUUGAAGCCAGCUUCAUCAGGCUUCUGGACAAGGUAACCAAUGGGACCAGAAUAGAAAUCAACCAAACAGGUACGGUGCUGUUCUACCAGCCAGGCCUGCUGUAUGGUGGUGUGGUGGAACAUGAGUGUAACACCCAGCGGUCUGUGGGUUACUACCUGGAAGCUCUACUCAUGCUGGCUCCCUUCAUGAAGAACCCUCUGAAGGCUGUGCUGAAGGGGGUCACCAAUGACCCUACAGACCCCUCGGUUGACCAACUGAAAUAUACGGCCAUUCCUGUGAUGAAGAAGUUUGGGAUUGAUGGAGAGGGGCUGGAACUGAAGGUAGUGAAAAGGGGGAUGGCUCCAGGUGGGGGAGGCGAGGUACUGUUUACGUGUCCCGUUCGCAAGACUCUCCGUCCCGUCCAACUGUCAGACCCCGGCAAGAUCAAGCGGAUCAGAGGAAUAGCAUACUCUGUUAGAGUCUCUCCACAGAUGGCCAACAGAAUAGUGGACUCUGCCAGAAGCAUACUGAACAAAUUCAUUCCUGAUAUCUACAUCUACACAGACCACAUGAAGGGGGACAAGUCUGGAAAGUCUCCAGGCUUUGGCCUGACCUUGGUGGCUGAAACCCUGAACGGGACGUUCCUUAGUGCAGAGCAGGUGUCCACCCCCCAGGGGCAGGGAGACCCUGUGCUGCCUGAGGACCUGGGAAGAAACUGUGCCAAGCUACUGCUGGAGGAGAUCUACAGGGGCGGCUGUAUCGACUCAGCCAAUCAAAGCCUGGCUCUCGUGUACAUGACCUUGGGUCAACAAGAUGUGUCUAAAGCGCUGCUCGGCCACCUCUCUCCAUACACGUGAUCAUAAAGACCUUUGAGCUGCUGUUUGGUGUUUUGAAGGCAUCCCAAAGCACACACUGUCCUCGGAUUGAGUUCCUCAGACACAUGAGAGACUUCUUCCAGAUGAUGUUCAAGAUCGAGACUCAGAAACCAUCGGAGGACGAGAGGAAAGGAGGAGACAAAGUACUGAUGACCUGUGUUGGAGCCGGCUAUACCAACAUCAGCAAAUCAAUCAAAUAAAGACUACAGUAUUUUUC
RNA transcript from Coregonus clupeaformis (lake whitefish), 1250 nucleotides. It is a transcript of the gene named RNA terminal phosphate cyclase-like 1, with no coding region annotated. The transcript is spliced from 10 exons. The record is from RefSeq and is a predicted model, not a curated record. Lineage: Eukaryota; Metazoa; Chordata; Actinopteri; Salmoniformes; Salmonidae.